This 624-nucleotide long non-coding RNA is filed under the name Chinchilla lanigera (long-tailed chinchilla). Its description in RNAcentral is "lncRNA (ENSCLAG00000025153.1)". Lineage: Eukaryota; Metazoa; Chordata; Mammalia; Rodentia; Chinchillidae. The record is from RNAcentral.
GGAAAAUAACAGCAACUGGAAUUAUAGUCAAAGAGUGGGGUAAUGGAGAUAUUUUCAGUGGGGAAAAAUGAUUCUGAUUGUAUUCACGGAACGAAUGAAAGGCAGAGAAACCCAGAACAUCAAUGAACUAAAGCGUAUGGCUUGAGUAGUAUGCUGCAGUCCAUCUGUCGGCCCUGUGAACUGUACCUAUGGCGCCCCCUGGAGUUUUAUCAAUACUCUACAGUGACAGCUCCACACAAGCAGACUGAAAUGUGGACAGAGAGAACAAGGAAGAAAGAAGAGAAAAAAGAAGAGUAUGACAUGAAAGCAGCGAAGAUAUCCGUGACCAUACCAAUAGUAUGUGGCUGAGUUUUACUUUUGACUUGAAAACUAAAGGAUCUUUUGGAUGACAUGGUGAAUUCACGCUGCUGGUUCCUUCUUCAUACUCAACGCAGGAGACACUAGAGUGGGAAGAGAAGAGGGGAUUUCUGAGGCAACUGAAACUCAUCAAGAAACCCCUGGGAGACGGAAAGCAGUCUAGAUGAAGGGGGACCAUGUCAUGGUUUGCAGCAGGCUGGGGACAGCUUCCGGGAGAGGUCCUUCCUUCUGUUCACUCUAUUUCCUGGGAAAUAAAGAUAUUUCCUC